Molecule: ribosomal RNA, 253 nt
Filed under: uncultured bacterium
Lineage: Bacteria
Description: partial 16S ribosomal RNA
Rfam family: Bacterial small subunit ribosomal RNA
Source: RNAcentral
UACGGAGGGGGCUAGCGUUGUUCGGAAUUACUGGGCGUAAAGCGCACGUAGGCGGCUUUGUAAGUUAGAGGUGAAAGCCCGGGGCUCAACUCCGGAAUUGCCUUUAAGACUGCAUCGCUAGAAUUGUGGAGAGGUAAGUGGAAUUCCGAGUGUAGAGGUGAAAUUCGUAGAUAUUCGGAAGAACACCAGUGGCGAAGGCGACUUACUGGACACAUAUUGAUGCUGAGGUGCGAAAGCGUGGGGAGCAAACAGG